Long non-coding RNA from Xenopus tropicalis (tropical clawed frog), 429 nucleotides. RefSeq lists it as uncharacterized. The record is from RefSeq and is a predicted model, not a curated record. The transcript is spliced from 2 exons. Lineage: Eukaryota; Metazoa; Chordata; Amphibia; Anura; Pipidae.
GAUCAUCAUCUUCAUUCUCCUAGGCAAAUGAAAAGGAAGAGAAAGAAUAAAUGGCUGCUCAAUAGGAAACUCCCUGACCUAUUUACAGCAGCUUCAGAAAGACCUUGAAUUAGCAGGUAAAGUUUUAAAGAAAACCGACACGGCCUCUAUUCACAAUCACCAUGCAAGACUCUACUGCUGAAGAAAACACAUGUUCACUCUUUGGAUGUCAUUGCGCACACCAUGUUUGGAGGAGAAAUGGCACUGCACAUCGACCUAAAAACACCAUACCAACAGUGAAGUUUGGAGGUGGGAACAUCAUCGUGUGGGGCUGUUUUUCAACAUAUGGUACUGGCAGACUUCAUAUAAUUAAAGAAAAGAUGAACAACGAAAUGUACAGGGACAUUACUGACAAGAAUCUGCUGCCAUCUACCAAGACAAAAAAAAAAA